GACGAACGCUGGCGGCGUGCUUAACACAUGCAAGUCGAACGGAAAGGCCCUGCUUGCCGGGUACUCGAGUGGCGAACGGGUGAGUAACACGUGGGUGAUCUGCCCUGCACUUCGGGAUAAGCCUGGGAAACUGGGUCUAAUACCGGAUAGGAGCCAUUUUUAGUGUGAUGGUUGGAAAGUUUUUUCGGUGUAGGAUGAGCUCGCGGCCUAUCAGCUUGUUGGUGGGGUAAUGGCCUACCAAGGCGGCGACGGGUAGCCGGCCUGAGAGGGUGGACGGCCACAUUGGGACUGAGAUACGGCCCAGACUCCUACGGGAGGCAGCAGUGGGGAAUAUUGCACAAUGGGCGCAAGCCUGAUGCAGCGACGCCGCGUGGGGGAUGACGGCCUUCGGGUUGUAAACUCAUUUCGCUAGGGACGAAGCUUUUUGUGACGGUACCUAGAUAAGAAGCACCGGCUAACUACGUG
RNAcentral lists this ribosomal RNA (465 nucleotides) under uncultured bacterium. RNAcentral describes it as "partial 16S ribosomal RNA". It matches the Rfam family "Bacterial small subunit ribosomal RNA", at positions 28 to 507 of the family's 1533-position model. The record is from RNAcentral.